CCUACGGGUGGCUGCAGUGGGGAAUUUUGGGCAAUGGGCGCAAGCCUGACCCAGCAACGCCGCGUGAAGGAUGAAAUCCCUCUGGGAUGUAAACUUCGAAAGUCGGGAAAGAAAUCGCCAUGGUUAACACCCGUGGUGGAUGACGGUACCCGACGUAAGCCCCGGCUAACUACGUGCCAGCAGCCGCGGUAAUACGUAGGGGGCAAGCGUUGUUCGGAAUUGCGCGUCGUAAAGGGCGCAAGUCGGGCGUGAAAGCCCGGGGCUCAACCCCGGAACUGCUUUCGAAACUGCCAAGCUAGAGUACGGAAGGGGCAACUGGAAUUCCCAGUGUAGCGGUGAAAUGCGUAGAUAUUGGGAAGAACACCGGAGGCGAAGGCGGGUUGCUGGGCCGAUACUGACGCUGAGGCGCGAAAGCCAGGGGAGCAAACGGGAUUAGAUACCCUGGUAGUC
RNAcentral lists this ribosomal RNA (450 nucleotides) under uncultured bacterium. RNAcentral's name for it is "partial 16S ribosomal RNA". It matches the Rfam family "Bacterial small subunit ribosomal RNA", at positions 338 to 795 of the family's 1533-position model. The record is from RNAcentral.